AUUUGGCGGACGGGUGAGUAACGCGUGGGAACGUACCUUUUGGUUCGGAACAACCCAGGGAAACUUGGGCUAAUACCGGAUAAGCCCUUACGGGGAAAGAUUUAUCGCCGAAAGAUCGGCCCGCGUCUGAUUAGCUUGUUGGUGAGGUAACGGCUCACCAAGGCGACGAUCAGUAGCUGGUCUGAGAGGAUGAUCAGCCACAUUGGGACUGAGACACGGCCCAAACCCCUACGGGAGGCAGCAGUGGGGAAUAUUGGACAAUGGGCGCAAGCCUGAUCCAGCCAUGCCGCGUGAGUGAUGAAGGCCCUAGGGUUGUAAAGCUCUUUUGUGCGGGAAGAUAAUGACGGUACCGCAAGAAUAAGCCCCGGCUAACUUCGUGCCAGCAGCCGCGGUAAUAAU
RNAcentral lists this ribosomal RNA (399 nucleotides) under uncultured Nitrobacter sp. RNAcentral describes it as "bacterial SSU rRNA". It matches the Rfam family "Bacterial small subunit ribosomal RNA", at positions 93 to 526 of the family's 1533-position model. Lineage: Bacteria; Pseudomonadati; Pseudomonadota; Alphaproteobacteria; Hyphomicrobiales; Nitrobacteraceae. The record is from RNAcentral.